UGCAGGUCGAGCGGCAGCGCGGGGGCAACCCUGGCGGCGAGCGGCGAACGGGUGAGUAAUGUAUCGGAACGUACCCAGUCGUGGGGGAUAACUAUCCGAAAGGAUAGCUAAUACCGCAUACGUCCUGAGGGAGAAAGCGGGGGAUCGCAAGACCUCGCGCGAUUGGAGCGGCCGAUAUCGGAUUAGCUAGUUGGUGAGGUAAAGGCUCACCAAGGCGACGAUCCGUAGCUGGUCUGAGAGGACGACCAGCCACACUGGAACUGAGACACGGUCCAGACUCCUACGGGAGGCAGCAGUGGGGAAUUUUGGACAAUGGGGGCAACCCUGAUCCAGCCAUUCCGCGUGAGUGAAGAAGGCCUUCGGGUUGUAAAGCUCUUUCAGCAGGAACGAAACGGUGGCCCCUAAUACGGGCUACUAAUGACGGUACCUGAAGAAGAAGCACCGGCUAACUACGUGCCAGCAGCCGCGGUAAUACGUAGGGUGCGAGCGUUAAUCGGAAUUACUGGGCGUAAAGCGUGCGCAGGCGGUUCUAUAAGACAGAUGUGAAAUCCCCGGGCUUAACCUGGGAACUGCGUUUGUGACUGUAGGACUUGAGUGUGGCAGAGGGGGGUGGAAUUCCACGUGUAGCAGUGAAAUGCGUAGAGAUGUGGAGGAACACCGAUGG
RNAcentral lists this ribosomal RNA (664 nucleotides) under uncultured bacterium. Its description in RNAcentral is "bacterial SSU rRNA". It matches the Rfam family "Bacterial small subunit ribosomal RNA", at positions 56 to 715 of the family's 1533-position model. The record is from RNAcentral.